AACAAACGCUGGCGGCGCGUUUUAAGCAUGCAAGUCGGACGGCAAGAGCUGUAGCAAUAUGGCUCCUAGAGUGGCGAACGGGUGAGUAACACGUAGGUGAUCUACCCUUGGGUGGGGGAUAGUCCGUGGAAACACGGGGUAAUACCGCAUGAGGCCUAGUGGGUAAAGCCAUGAGGUGAAAGGUGCAAUUGCACCGUCUGGGGAUGAGCCUGCGGUCCAUUAGGUAGUUGGCGGGGUAAGGGCCCACCAAGCCUACGAUGGAUAGCCGGCCUGAGGGGGUGUACGGCCACACUGGAACUGAGACACGGUCCAGACUCCUACGGGAGGCAGCAGCUAAGAAUCUUCCGCAAUGGGGGAAACCCUGACGGAGCGACGCCGCGUGG
This 383-nucleotide ribosomal RNA is filed under the name uncultured bacterium. RNAcentral's name for it is "bacterial SSU rRNA". It matches the Rfam family "Bacterial small subunit ribosomal RNA", at positions 29 to 404 of the family's 1533-position model. The record is from RNAcentral.